This 964-nucleotide long non-coding RNA is filed under the name Felis catus (domestic cat). RNAcentral describes it as "lncRNA (ENSFCAG00000051115.1)". Lineage: Eukaryota; Metazoa; Chordata; Mammalia; Carnivora; Felidae. The record is from RNAcentral.
UUUAAUGGGUCUUCGUAUGAGAGAAAGGGAGGGGAUUGGGCUGUGUAAUCUUAAUCCUAGGUCAAGAUGGUGACUUUGUCAAGUGAUCUUGGCCAAUUCACCUCACCUCACUCACCUCCAGUUUUUAGCUGCUAAACUAGAGAUAGUAUUAUCUUCAUAGGGAGUUCAAAGAGGAUUAGAUAACACAAAUAAAUACUGUGAUGUCUGAAUCACUAGAAAUCAGGGGCGAUCGUUAGUCUUCGAUGAUGAACACUAUUUGUGUUGGGGUAACUGAGAAAUUACAUUUGAGUAUACACUAGGAUAUUCAGCUAGUGCAGUGUGGAGCAAGCUGAAGCCUUGAAUGAUUGAGAUUUUUUGACUGGUCUCAUUUUAUUCAUAACCUUAGCAGUAUUUUCUGUCUCCUGAUUUUUCUUUUUUCCUCUCAGUUUGGCUAAAUGAAAUGAGGCUCGAUCUCACCGUACUAAAGACUGAUUUCCCGAUCAAGGCCAGUGGAAAGGAAGGAAAACAACAAAUGAAUUUGUGCACAGAGCUGGUUUCAUAGCUUGCUGUCUGCCAAGCAGGCAUGAGCAAGACUUCCAAGGCGUAGACACAACACACCCUAAUCCUUCAAGUUUAAGGUGUUCAUAUGCAAGUGGAAAAUCCCAUGCUAAAUAAUCAAGACGGAGUUAACUCUCACCUCCUUUUAAAAUCCUCCCUUAAAGAUUCGCAUGCAUCACAAUGAAAAACACAAGCUUGAGCUACGAGAACAUUUCUGUUCCUUAAGCCGCCCAAUUUGUGGUGUUGUUAUGUCAGCCCAGGCUGACUAAUACUCAGUGGAAACAGCUUUUUCUGAGGGAAGUCUGGUUGAACCAAGACCACACUAGGCUUAGUUGACCUGUCGUGCAGAUACUGGCUAAAAACGGGUAGUUACCAGGUUUCGUAUUCUCAUGCUCUAAAAUAAAUGUUGCGAGUCAGUAAACCCUCA